GUCAAAUAUCAUACCACCUGAAGGCACCUGAUCUCAUCUGAUCUUGGAAACUAAGUAGGGUCGGGCCUGCUUAGUACUGGGAUGGGAGACAAUUCGGUAAUUCUCUUACUUCUUUUU
Molecule: non-coding RNA, 117 nt
Organism: Fukomys damarensis (Damara mole-rat)
Lineage: Eukaryota; Metazoa; Chordata; Mammalia; Rodentia; Bathyergidae
Source: Rfam